Molecule: long non-coding RNA, 780 nt
Organism: Drosophila kikkawai
Lineage: Eukaryota; Metazoa; Arthropoda; Insecta; Diptera; Drosophilidae
Source: RefSeq, a predicted model, not a curated record
UCUAGAAGGCCAUGGUAAUUCCUGUCUAUGACCAAUAUUUCUCCUCACAUUUUCCAUUAGUCAAUCAUAGCAGAAACCUCUUCUAAAUUUUCACAAUAAUUCCAUAAAUUUGUAUAACAUUUUUGAGUAGAAAACUUGUCUUUAGAAAAUCAAAAAUAUGUCUCAAAGAAAUAUUGGUGAAACAGAUUCACAACAAAGAAUAUAUUUAGACGAAGAGGAGGUGAGAUCCUACCACUCGGGAACAAGCUGCCCGGCCUCCAAUGACUCCAAUGAAUCGGUUUGGUCAACCCAAGGCUGUAUAAUAGAAGUAAAGUCCUCCUCUACUCCAAUGUGGGAUGAUAAUACACCCACAGCAUUAGUGCCUCCGCAUCGCCGGAACAGUCAAAUAAGACUUUUACUGCAAAUGUGGGAUAUUGACGUUCAAGAAUUGCGCGAUGCGCUUGACGUGGAACAAGAAGUGCCGAUAUCGGCUGUAGUCAUUGGUCGAGAUCAUCCUGCUUCUAGCCCGGCAGCCUUGGCCGGAUAUCGGUACCGAACCCUCUGAUAGAUAGCAAGCAAAUUAAAUUUUAGCAGCAACAAAAUCUCUCGUCAUGGCGACGUUAAGUGGCAUCUGCAGCUGCAGCAAAUCCACACCCACCGGAGUCGUCCUCUGUGCCCUGCUCCUGUUGCUGUCCGCUUUCUGGUUGAUGGCUUGCGUUUAAAUUUGAAGUGCUGCUAAAUCAAGCCCCAUACAGUGGGAAAAUUACGAAAUUUUGAAUAAAAACAAUCUGUUGAUUUUUA